GAUGAACGCUGGCGGCGUGCCUAAUACAUGCAAGUCGAGCGAACGGACGAGAAGCUUGCUUCUCUGAUGUUAGCGGCGGACGGGUGAGUAACACGUGGAUAACCUACCUAUAAGACUGGGAUAACUUCGGGAAACCGGAGCUAAUACCGGAUAAUAUUUUGAACCGCAUGGUUCAAAAGUGAAAGACGGUCUUGCUGUCACUUAUAGAUGGAUCCGCGCUGCAUUAGCUAGUUGGUAAGGUAACGGCUUACCAAGGCAACGAUGCAUAGCCGACCUGUGAGGGUGAUCGGCCACACUGGAACGGAGACACGGUCCAGACUCCUACGGGAGGCAGCAGUAGGGAAUCUUCCGCAAUGGGCGAAAGCCUGACGGAGCAACGCCGCGUGAGUGAUGAAGGUCUUCGGAUCGUAAAACUCUGUUAUUAGGGAAGAACAUAUGUGUAAGUAACUGUGCACAUCUUGACGGUACCUAAUCAGAAAGCCACGGCUAACUACGUG
RNAcentral lists this ribosomal RNA (497 nucleotides) under uncultured bacterium. RNAcentral describes it as "partial 16S ribosomal RNA". It matches the Rfam family "Bacterial small subunit ribosomal RNA", at positions 28 to 507 of the family's 1533-position model. The record is from RNAcentral.